RNAcentral lists this ribosomal RNA (301 nucleotides) under uncultured bacterium. RNAcentral describes it as "partial 16S ribosomal RNA". It matches the Rfam family "Bacterial small subunit ribosomal RNA", at positions 509 to 807 of the family's 1533-position model. The record is from RNAcentral.
CAGCCGCCACGGUAAUACGGAGGGCGCGAGCGUUACCCGGAUUUACUGGGCGUAAAGGGCGUGUAGGCGGCCUGGGGCGUCCCAUGUGAAAGGCCACGGCUCAACCGUGGAGGAGCGUGGGAUACGCUCAGGCUAGAGGGUGGGAGAGGGUGGUGGAAUUCCCGGAGUAGCGGUGAAAUGCGCAGAUACCGGGAGGAACGCCGAUGGCGAAGGCAGCCACCUGGUCCACUUCUGACGCUGAGGCGCGAAAGCGUGGGGAGCAAACCGGAUUAGAUACCCACGUAGUCCCUGUCUCUUAUAC